Molecule: ribosomal RNA, 459 nt
Filed under: uncultured soil bacterium
Lineage: Bacteria
Description: bacterial SSU rRNA
Rfam family: Bacterial small subunit ribosomal RNA
Source: RNAcentral
AGAACGAACGCUGGCGGCAGGCCUAACACAUGCAAGUCGAACGCCCCGCAAGGGGAGUGGCAGACGGGUGAGUAACGCGUGGGAACGUACCCUUCGGUUCGGAAUAACCCGGGGAAACUCGGGCUAAUACCGGAUACGUCCUGCCCCUUAAACAAGGGUGGGAGAAAGAUUUAUCGCCGAAGGAUCGGCCCGCGUUGGAUUAGCUAGUUGGCGGGUAAUGGCCCACAAGGCGACGAUCCAUAGCUGGUCUGAGAGGAUGAUCAGCCACACUGGGACUGAGACACGGCACAGACUCCUACGGGAGGCAGCAGUGGGGAAUAGUUGGACAAGUGGGACGAAAGCCUGAUCCAGCCAUCGCCGCGUGAGUGAAGAAGGCCUAGGUUAGUAAAGCUCUUACAGCGGGAAGAUAAUCGGAACGGUACCCGCGAAGAAGAACGCCCCGGACUAACCGUUCGUACG